Molecule: ribosomal RNA, 1344 nt
Filed under: metagenome
Description: bacterial LSU rRNA
Rfam family: Bacterial large subunit ribosomal RNA
Source: RNAcentral
AAAAUCCACAGAUCUUGGGGAAAUACGAUAGUACUCGGAGUCUUCGGACAAAGAGAUAGUGCGCCUAAGGGCUUCCAAGAAAAACCUCUAAACUUCAGGUAAUUAGUACCAGUACCGUAAACCGACACAGGUAGUUGAGGAGAGAAUCCUAAGGUGCUCGAGAGAUUCAUGGCUAAGGAAUUAGGCAAAAUAGACCUGUAACUUCGGGAGAAAGGUCGCCAGCGCAAGCUGGCCGCAGUGAAGAGGUCCAGGCGACUGUUUAUCAAAAACACAGGGCUCUGCAAAAUCGUGAGAUGAAGUAUAGGGCCUGACACCUGCCCGGUGCUGGAAGGUUAAGAGGAGAUGUUAUCUUCGGAGAAGCAUUGAAUUGAAGCCCCAGUAAACGGCGGCCGUAACGAUAACGGUCCUAAGGUAGCGAAACUCCUUGUCGGGUAAGUUCCGACCUGCACGAAUGGUGUAACGAUCUGGACACUGUCUCAGCCAUGAGCUCGGUGAAAUUGUAGUAACGGUGAAGAUGCCGUUUACCCGCAGUGGGACGAAAAGACCCUGUGCACCUUUACUAUAGCUUAGUAUUGACCUUGGAUAAAUGAUGUGUAGGAUAGGUUGGAGACUGUGAAGUGGCGUCGCCAGGCGUUGUGGAGUCAUUGUUGAAAUACAACCCUUUGUUUAUCUGAGGCCUAACCCCGUUUUGCGGGGGACAUUGCUUGGUGGGUAGUUUGACUGGGGUGGUCGCCUCCAAAAGAGUAACGGAGGCUUCUAAAGGUUCCCUCAGUACGCUUGGUAACCGUGCGUAGAGUGCAAUGGCAUAAGGGAGCUUGACUGAGAGACAUACAGGUCGAUCAGGUACGAAAGUAGAGCAUAGUGAUCCGGUGGUUCCGCAUGGAAGGGUCAUCGCUCAAAGGAUAAAAGGUACGCCGGGGAUAACAGGCUGAUCUCCCCCAAGAGCUCAUAUCGACGGGGGGGUUUGGCGCCUCGAUGUCGGCUCGUCACAUCCUGGGGCUGGAGAAGGUCCCAAGGGUUGGGCUGUUCGCCCAUUAAAGUGGCACGCGAGCUGGGUUCAGAACGUCGUGAGACAGUUCGGUCUCUAUCUACUGUGGGCGUUAGAAAUUUGAGUGGAUCUGAUUCUAGUACGAGAGGAUCGAAUUGGACAAACCUCUAGUGUAUCUGUUGUCCCGCCAGGGGCACCGCAGAGUAGCUACGUUUGGAAGGGAUAAGCGCUGAAAGCAUAUAAGCGCGAAACCCACCACAAGAUGAGAUUUCUUUUAAGGAUCGUGGAAGAUGACCACGUUGAUAGGCUAUAGAUGUAAAGGCAGUAAUGUCAUAGUCGAGUAGUACUAAUAAUCC